This 22-nucleotide unclassified non-coding RNA is filed under the name Mus musculus (house mouse). RNAcentral's name for it is "oocyte_clustered_small_RNA965". Lineage: Eukaryota; Metazoa; Chordata; Mammalia; Rodentia; Muridae. The record is from RNAcentral.
UGGGGAGGUUGGUGAGACGCUG